RNAcentral lists this long non-coding RNA (632 nucleotides) under Calidris pugnax (ruff). RNAcentral describes it as "lncRNA (ENSCPUG00000013132.1)". The stretch from base 520 to 589 matches the Rfam family "tRNA". Lineage: Eukaryota; Metazoa; Chordata; Aves; Charadriiformes; Scolopacidae. The record is from RNAcentral.
AUGCUUUGGUAUUUAAGCUACAGGGACGGGCUUAAUGUUUUGUUUUCUUUUAUUGGGGUUAUGUUUUGUGUUAGGGGGUUUAGCUGUUGCGUCCAAUCCUUCUCCGUAUUAUGGGGUAGUUGGUUUAGUGUUAGCUUCUGUUGCAGGAUGUGGUUGGCUAUUAAGUUUGGGUGUUUCUUUUGUGUCAUUGGUGCUGUUUAUAGUCUACUUGGGAGGAAUGUUGGUGGUUUUUGUUUACUCUGUGUCUUUGGCAGCAGAUCCUUUUCCUGAGGCUUGAGGGGAUUGACGUGUUGUUGGGGGUCUUGUUGAGUGUUGGAAGAUUGGGGUGGUUACUGUUGACAGUGGGGGAAUAUUUUUGGUGCGGUUGGAUUUUAGUGGGGUGGCCAUAUUUUAUUCGUGCGGGGUUGGAAUGUUUUUAGUGGCUGGGUGGGGGUUGUUAUUGACUUUGUUUGUGGUAUUAGAGUUGGUGCGUGGGUUAUCUCGUGGGGCGAUUCGAGCAGUUUAGGGUUGGGGGAAAGUCAGAGAAUAGUUUAGUAUAAAAUACCAGCUUUGGGAGUUGGAGAUAGAGGUUUGAGUCCUCUUUUUCUGAUUCUAUAUAAGAUGAACUCUAAGAAGAGGGGCAGUCUUCAGUC